AUGAUUCAUAGUAAUAUGAAAAAGUAUAUUUAUCGCCAGGGGUUAAUAAAACGAAUUCUAGCUACUAGCUCAAAUGGGCGAAGCAUUAGCAGUAUGUACAUUUUGAGUAAAAAUGUAAAAUUACCGAAAAAGGAAACAAUAGUGUGGGCACCUGUUUUGUUAAGACAUAUGUCAAAUAAUGUGUUAACAACUAAUGCAGAAAAAACUGUAGAAGAAAAUAUGAGCAAUGAAGAAUUAAUCGAAUUUUUUGAAAAUAAUAAAAAUAUGAAUAUAGAUAAGUUGUAUAAUUUGAUUAAAAUUAUAAGUAGGAAAAAAAUGGAAGAUAGAAAAAAAAUAAUAGAAAAUAAAAAUUUCAGUAAUAUAUUAGAAGAAAUAGAAAAUCGUGUUAAAAUAAUGAACACACGAUAUUUAUGUAAUUUUAGCUUAAGGCUAGCUAGUAUUUCGUUAAAUAAUGAACAGAUAAAACAAGUUUUAACUAAAAUAAGUGAAACUGUAUUAAAAAAAAUAAAUGUAAAUCCACGUGAUUUAGUAGGAAUAUUUUAUGCUUUAAGUUUAUGUAAUAACAUGAAUGAAUAUUAUUUUGAACAUGUAAAAAAAGAGACGUUAGCUAAUAUUGAUGCGUAUACACCGACUUUAUUAACACAAUUAUUAGAAAGUAUGAGAUUAUCACAAAACUUAGAUGUUGAAAUGACAAAUUUAAUUGUAGAAAAAAUGUGUGAAGAAAUGGAUCGUUUUACAACAAAGGAUGUUACGUUAGCAUUAAAAACAUUAUCUAUGGCUGGAAUACCAAGAGGUUUUUUAAUAAGAAGAUUAUGUAAUCUAGUAUUUGAUAAUAUUUCACACUUUCACUACACAGCAUUAAUAAAUAUUAUAUAUAAUUUAACAAAACUUAAAUUUACUACUAUUAAUCACAUUGAUGUAAUUUAUAAAAAUGUAGAGGAACAUAUUGAAAAAUGCAAUAUAAACACUUUAUGUGAGUUAUUAUAUACAUUUUAUAUGAAUCAAAUAAAUGAAGAAAGUAAAAUAAAUAAAAUUUUUGAAAAUAUUAAUUAUGAUCAUUUUAAUACUACCAAAACAGCUGUUAUCAUUGAUUUUAUACACGCAGCAACAUAUUAUAAUAAAUAUAUAAAAGACAAAACACAAUUUUUAAAUUUGAUAGAUUUAUUGUUUAAACGUCCUGUACCUAAAUCAUUAACACUUAUUGCUAAGAUAAGAGAACCCAUAUAUUAUUUGGCAUCAGAUAGUAAUAAUAUUGACAAUGAUAUCGAUAAUAGUAAUGAUAAAAAUAUAAAAUAUGAUAUAAAAAAUGUGACAACUUCAUGGGAAAAUGCUAUGAACGAUUUUUUACGUAUAGAUCAUGAAAAAUUACAAGGACUCAAAACAUUUCAUGAAGUACAAAAUAUAUUAAAUGCUAUUGCACCAACAUUUGGAUUAAAUUUUACUCCUUUACAAAUUUCUAAUUCUUAUUCUGUCGAUUUUAUAGAAAAUGAACAUAAAAUUAUUAUAGAUUUAGAUACUAUCGUUAGACAUACAUCUUUUCAAAUUAAACAUAACCAUUUUAAAAAUUUGGGAUAUAGAACUGCUAAAAUUCAUUUUUGGAAAUGGAGAAAAUGUAAGUCAGAAAAAGAGCAACAAAACUAUUUAUCGGAUAUUAUAUAUUCUGUUACUGACUCGAAAAAAAAGAUAGACAAUGUUGACCCCCUUGUUGCCCAGCAGGCCAACUAA
Molecule: long non-coding RNA, 1725 nt
Filed under: Piliocolobus tephrosceles (Ugandan red Colobus)
Lineage: Eukaryota; Metazoa; Chordata; Mammalia; Primates; Cercopithecidae
Description: lncRNA (ENSPTEG00000002468.1)
Source: RNAcentral